UACGUAGGGUGCAAGCGUUGUCCGGAAUUAUUGGGCGUAAAGAGCUCGUAGGCGGUUUGUCGCGUCGAAUGUGAAAACCCGGGGCUCAACCCCGGGCCUGCAUUCGAUACGGGCAGACUAGAGUUCGGUAGGGGAGUCUGGAAUUCCUGGUGUAGCGGUGAAAUGCGCAGAUAUCAGGAGGAACACCGGUGGCGAAGGCGGGACUCUGGGCCGAUACUGACGCUGAGGAGUGAAAGCGUGGGGAGCAAACAGG
Molecule: ribosomal RNA, 253 nt
Filed under: uncultured bacterium
Lineage: Bacteria
Description: partial 16S ribosomal RNA
Rfam family: Bacterial small subunit ribosomal RNA
Source: RNAcentral